This is a non-coding RNA of Danio rerio (zebrafish), 73 nucleotides long. Lineage: Eukaryota; Metazoa; Chordata; Actinopteri; Cypriniformes; Danionidae. The record is from Rfam.
GAUGAAAUAGCUCAGUUGGGAGUGUGUUAAACUGAAGAUCUAAAGGUUCCUGGUUCGAUCCCGGGUUUCGGCA